AUGAUUACCUUUGAUAUAUUCUAUUCAAUUGUUCUUCCACAGAAAGUCCUGACAGUCCAACAAACUUCUUUGAAAGGAUUCAGUGGAGUUGCCAUUUUACUUUAUAUCAAAUAUUCUUUUGUGAAGACCAUUUGUCUGCAGUGUCCAUCUACUCUCCAGUUAUCAGAAGAAUACAUCAUUGGGGAACAACCACACAGAGGGGCUGUUUCCUGGACACAGAUUAUGCCGAAGAGAAGGACAACCUGAAUUGCUUUCAUGGAGGACUGGCUUGAAUUAUGAGGAUGGCCACAAUUUAGUUUCAUCAUGAGCAAAAGCUAUUGGUUUUUCUACCCAAAGUUGCAAAGCAUGGCAAUUUUGUGACCCAUGUUUGGUACAAGGGUCACAAAAGGUGUGACCCAUGUAAUAAACACAAGAGACCAGCAACAUGGAUAAAAGGGUGUGGCAGUAGCAGGAACAGCGGCAUAUAGUAGGAAAAACCUGGUACUCACUAAUUUAUGGUAAUGCCAGCGACUUCCAAAUGGCUAAUUUCUCUGAACAGGGGGAACCCCCCCCCCACCAGAUUCACAGGAAAUAAAUUAUAGGAUGAAGAAGCAACACUCCAAGCCGCAGCUCCAUACUACUUUCUAGACAGAGAACUGAUACUGUAUACUGGUUGUGGGGUGCAAUUGUGGAUGAGUGUGAGGGGUAUGGGUGGCUAUUGGAUUCCUCAUGUAUUACUCAUUGGUAGGAAGAAUUAUGGUCAAAUGUUACUAUAUUUAUUGAAGAUUAUUUCAAUCCUAUUAUUUUAAAUAGCCAAUAUGGGCGCAAUCAAUUAGCUUAAAUUCUUAGAGAUCAAAUUAUGUUUCAGGAAUGAUAAUCUUAUCUGUAACUACAGAAACGAUUUCAGCACAAUCUGAGAUGGUGGGUGUCAAAAUCCUCCUUGUGCUUUUUGAAGUGGAAACGACACGAUAACUAGUCUAAGCUCAGACAUCUUUGAAUGGCUAGGUCAACAAGUAUGCAGAGGAAGAGUGUCUGAACCAUAGAAAUACAAUAACCGUUCUAGUAAUUAUAUUUAUAUGGUUUGAUUGAAGGAGAACCAUUCCAAUAUGACUGCCUCUAUGUCAUGUCAGUGUACAAUCAGUCACAACGGUGGAUACCAUACUUUGAAAAAAACAAUGGAGAAAAAAAAGAGCUAAUAUUGUGGUAAAAAGAAAAAAAUUCAAUCAAUGUGCCAAUUAAAUAAAUCACAAUAUACCAAAGCACCUCUUGAAGAGUAUUUCAGACAUUCUUCACGGAACACAACUCUUUAGCAUUUUCCAAACAUACCCGUUCAGUAAAUACAUGUCAACUGUCUUGGUGUUGUAAGGCACCUUCAAAUGUUACUUUCUUUCCUAUAUCCAAGAUAAUGGAUUGUACAUCAUUGCUGGGGGAUAUUUAUUAUUAUUCUGCAUUAAAGUUAAUGAACGUGUUGAUGAACACAUAGUAGUCGCCAGGCAGGGAGCGUGAGAGUUGAAGGCAUAGUAGUCGCCGGGCAGGGAGCGUGAGAGUUGAAGGCAUAGUAGUCGCCGGGCAGGGAACGUGAGAGUUGAAGGCAUAGUAGUCGCCGGGCAGGGAACGUGAGAGUUGAAGGCAUAGUAGUCGCCGGGCAGGGAACGUGAGAGUUGAAGGCAUAAGAAAAAGUAUGAAUUUGAGAAUGGGAGUGUGUUAUCAUCGACUUCAUGGAUACCAUGUAUAAGGUGACAGUUGGGCGAGAUACAGCCAUAGAUGGUAGCAGGCCAGGCGACCCUUGGGUUUGGCAUACAGCAUCUAGACGUAGAUUGUCAGGGAUGACAAGACCCCUCUUCCACUAGCCUGAUCCAAGAUCUGUUGGUGCGGUCUUCCCAACAAUGUUUUGCUGUAUAGCAAACUUCCACAGUUUGGUAAUGACUAUGACCAUAUAAAGGUAUACAGCACAAACAGCUCUGGGACAAGGCUAGUCUUCCACAGAGU
Oncorhynchus kisutch (coho salmon) is the source of this 1968-nucleotide long non-coding RNA. Lineage: Eukaryota; Metazoa; Chordata; Actinopteri; Salmoniformes; Salmonidae. The record is from Ensembl.